AACAGGAUUAGAUACCCUGGUAGUCCACGCCGUAAACGAUGUCGACUUGGAGGUUGUGCCCUUGAGGCGUGGCUUCCGGAGCUAACGCGUUAAGUCGACCGCCUGGGGAGUACGGCCGCAAGGUUAAAACUCAAAUGAAUUGACGGGGGCCCGCACAAGCGGUGGAGCAUGUGGUUUAAUUCGAUGCAACGCGAAGAACCUUACCUACUCUUGACAUCCAGAGAACUUAGCAGAGAUGCUUCGGUGCCUUCGGGAACUCUGAGACAGGUGCUGCAUGGCUGUCGUCAGCUCGUGUUGUGAAAUGUUGGGUUAAGUCCCGCAGCGAGCGCAACCCUUAUCCUUUGUUGCCAGCGGUUAGGCCGGGAACUCAAAGGAGACUGCCAGUGAUAAACUGGAGGAAGGUGGGGACGACGUCAAGUCAUCAUGGCCCUUACGAGUAGGGCUACACACGUGCCACAAUGGCACAUACAAAGAGAAGCGACCUCGCGAGAGCAAGCGGACCUCAUAAAGUAUGUCGUAGUCCGGAUUGGAGUCUGCAACUCGACUCCAUGAAGUCGGAAUCGCUAGUAAUCGUGGAUCAGAAUGCCACGGUGAAUACGUUCCCGGGCCUUGUACACACCGCCCGUCACACCAUGGGAGUGGGUUGCAAAAGAAGUAGGUAGCUUAACCUUCGGGAGGGCGCUUACCACUUUGUGAUUCAUGACUGGGGUGAAGUCGUAACAAGGUAACC
This 730-nucleotide ribosomal RNA is filed under the name uncultured bacterium. RNAcentral describes it as "bacterial SSU rRNA". It matches the Rfam family "Bacterial small subunit ribosomal RNA", at positions 771 to 1501 of the family's 1533-position model. The record is from RNAcentral.